Pongo pygmaeus (Bornean orangutan) is the source of this 1448-nucleotide long non-coding RNA. RefSeq lists it as uncharacterized. The record is from RefSeq and is a predicted model, not a curated record. Lineage: Eukaryota; Metazoa; Chordata; Mammalia; Primates; Hominidae. The transcript is spliced from 4 exons.
GGCCCCUCAGGGGGAAGGGGCGGGGAGAUCCCAGCUACUAGAGGACGCCCCUUCCAAUGGCAACUCUGCCAAGGCGCCUAUGACAGCCUGUUGGCUUUUACCUGGUCUGCGAGAAAUCAAACUUUGGGCACAAGUCAUGAAGCCGACAAGCCCGGGAGACACAGUGUCAGAAUUACAAGGAACCCUACAAGGCCUGUUAGAGAAGAAGGGGUAGAAUCCCGAGAAUGUUUUCCCCACAGUGCUGAUAAGGAGAGACCACUACCCCAUCUACUGCUACAACUCUGGAGACAUAGCUCUGCCAUCUCUCCUAUAGAACACAAGGACCAAUCUGCAGAGAAAGAGCAUCCAAACCUGAUCCAGUGGACACUGGGGAAAAACUCACCACAGCUGAGUGUGGAAAAACAAGGCCAACACACACAUCUCUGCACAGAUACAUCUCCCAUAAAGAAACUAAAGUGUUAAUUUACAGGGCGCUGUUGCAGACCCACUUCAACUGGAAGCUACGAACGUGGACAAGGAGCCUCUCUACCACCGAAGGAGAGACAGGAAUGUGCUCUUGUCCUGGCAUUGCAUCUACAGGAGGGGCAGGAAACUCUUUGAAGUAUCCUCAGGGGAAAGAGAACUGAGAGCUUCCUCGACCUCCUCAGAGGACAGGAAAGAGGGAUCAGUCUCCAUGUUGUCCUCCUGAGUCUGUAAGGAGUCUAAGACAGAGCGAACUGAAACCCAGAUUGACCAAAUGCUGCCAUCGGACUUACAGCCAAGACCUUCCUUCUCUUCCACAUCUUCACAGUCCUUCCAGAUCACAAGCCUAAGUCCACUGACCACAUCACCUGUCACCUGGACCUUGCACACUUAGUGAUGCUCCUCACUGUGGUCUUCUUAGCAUCUCCAGACCUGUUUGAGUAACUACAUUUGCAGAAUAACUUCAAGUGCAAGGCAUUUUUCUACAUGUACAGGGUGAUGAGGAGCCUCUCCAGCUCCAUCACCUUUCUCCUGACUGUGCUCCAGGUCAUCACCAUCAGCCCCAGCACCUCCUGGUUGGUGAAGAUUAAACAGAAAUUCACAGGUUACAUUUUCCACUCCCGUUUCUUCCCAUGGGUUCUCAGUUUGUCUCUCAGUAACCUGCUUUCCUCCACUGUGGCUUCUUCUAAAGUGACCAAGACUGAUGUGCUAAGUAUCAGUAAAUACUGCUCACUUUCUUAUGUAAGCUACAUCUUCUAAUAUGACCAAGACCGAUGUGCUAAGUUGUGCUUUAUUUCUUGUCAUUCUAUUAUUCCUAUACAUAUAAUUACAUUCAUAUUGCUAUUACUUUCUCUUUUUUAUAUGGUUGUAUUCAUUCUGCUGAAAACUCCAGUUCCCAAAUCCAGUUCACUAAUUCUGUCGUCAACUCAGUCUAAUUUUAUAUUUAACUCACAUAUUGUAUAUUAAAUUUAUUUACUUUUAAAUUA